RNAcentral lists this ribosomal RNA (468 nucleotides) under uncultured bacterium. RNAcentral's name for it is "partial 16S ribosomal RNA". It matches the Rfam family "Bacterial small subunit ribosomal RNA", at positions 28 to 507 of the family's 1533-position model. The record is from RNAcentral.
GACGAACGCUGGCGGCGUGCUUAACACAUGCAAGUCGAACGGAAAGGCCCUGCUUUUGUGGUGUGCUCGAGUGGCGAACGGGUGAGUAACACGUGAGUAACCUGCCCUUGACUUUGGGAUAACUUCAGGAAACUGGGGCUAAUACCGGAUAGGAGCUCCUGCUGCAUGGUGGGGGUUGGAAAGGUUCGGCGGUUGGGGAUGGACUCGCGGCUUAUCAGCUGGUUGGUGGGGUAGUGGCUUACCAAGGCUUUGACGGGUAGCCUGCCUGAGAGGGUGACCGGCAAACUUGGGACUGAGAUACGGCACAGACUCCUACGGGAGGCAGCAGUGGGGAAUAUUGCACAAUGGGCGGAAGCCUGAUGCAGCAACGCCGCGUGCGGGAUGACGGCCUUCGGGUUGUAAACCGCUUUCGCCUGUGCCGAAGCGUGAGUGACGGUAAUGGGUAAAGAAGCACCGGCUAACUACGUG